AAACUCGCUGGUUUUCUAAUUCCCGUUGAGACGAGCCUAACUUUACCGCUUAAAACCAUAGAGCCACAACAAUUCUACUACUUAAAAGAUCUGUAGUGGUGAUGGUGAAGCUAAUGUAGACUCAUGAUCCAACUUAAAAACGUAGACACGUGACCGUGAAAAAAAAAAAACGAACGCUUCACAGCGACGCGCAACAGAAGCGAUCCGAAAUCAGCGCAACAGAAGCCCCCAAUCCAUCUUCGCGCAUCCCCACAUCGCCGCGCCCGCUCCACUCUUCCACCCCCGGCGCCGCUGACCCCUCCCCAGCUCCCGCCUCCCGGUCUCCCUCGACCCAUCCCCGCCGCUUGAAGCCCUCCCGUCGCGCCUCACGGUCUCCAUCACGCCGGCUCGCCCUCGACAGAUCCCCGGAAGCCCUCCCGUCGCCAGUUCGUCGCACACACCUACCUUGCCGAUCUGCUCCUCGCCGCCACUGUCGGCGCCCGCAUCCACGACGCCGCCGUCAUCCCUUGGUAGUUUGAUGUCUUCUCCUUCUCCUCAAGAUGGAUCCAAAUGUGCCAAAUGCGUUUAUUAGCAAAGCGAACAAACUGGGGAUGGCGCCACGACCUGCUUGUGCUGGAGACAGAGGACCCCUCGUCCUCCUCCUCCUCCUCCUCCUCGCCGUGCCUCCCUGACCCGCCGCCGCUUCCACCCUCAAGCGCCACCGCACGUCGCACGAGACCCCACUUCCUCCCGCUCCCCCCGCUGCCGCGCCUCGCUGACCUGUCGCCUUUAAACCUUGCGCCGGUUCCACCUUCUCCGAGGUCGCUGCCUCCCUAGAGGGCCGGCCAGAGGUCGCCGUGGAGUCCUUGAAAGAGGAGGAGGAGGAGGAGGAGAGACGGUGCCAUAUGCGUUGCAUCACACGCGGGCGCCGUCGCUACCUCGAGCACCGUAUGUGCGAUUGCAGCCGCCUCCGCUCGCCAUGAGAACAAUAGCGUGUCUUGGUGCUACCAUGCCGAGUGAUCUAGGAGUACUCCCUUUUUUCUGUGGAAUUUCUCCAGGUUUUAGUUGAGUGCUUGGGACUAAACAGUACUGUAGCAAGCAUUAUCGGCCUAUUUUGUUCGCAGAGUGAAGACCAUGGAUGCAGCAUGCAUGCAGAGUUGCAGACUGAAGACAGGCCAUCAUUCUUCAGUCUACCACGAGAUAGCGGCGCAAAUGCUUGAUUCACUUGUGAGAAUCACUUCUUUCAACUUCCAACCUGAUUUUAGAGCAACAGUGCCUCACCAAUUGAAAUCAACCGAUCAACAUAUAUGUCACUGGUUCUCCCAUCUAUUAGAUAUAGUUCUGAAUUUUUAAACAAAAUGACUAUUUGUGUGCUGUGAGUACAACAAAAAUGAGCUCAAGAAAAGCUAUCUCUAUCAACAUUAGCGAAAAAAAAGCACACUUAAAGCCUUUACAAAAAAAAAAUAUAUGAAGUCUUUACAAGUGUAAACAUUUCUGAAAUUGCCUGGUGAGCGAUUAAAAUGUUUUUCUUGUGGUGCCUUCAGAGAGUUUGAUAUGUUUCUAUAUAUUUUUACAUGUGUGCCAUUUUCUGCUGCCCCGAACAUUGAUCUGAGAGUAAUCAAAUUCCUUGAAUAGUUUAACUUCUAAAUGUUCAAAAAUAAAGGGAGCGCCAUGGAAGUCAAAUUAGUGAAAAUCUUAGGUAUCCUGCAGUGUGUAUGGGGGCACUGUGCAAUAUGAUGUUGCAUGCAGUAUACUAUCAUUCUUUUAAAAGUAUCUUCUCGGAAUAAUUUCUUAUUUCCAAAUAUUCUCAGAUACACUUUCAAUAAUGUAGAUAUGAGAUAUUAUGUGCGAAUGGCCACCCCAAGAUAAUAUACUUCAGGAUAUGCAAAAUCAGUUGGAGAAUGCAAAUUCGGUUGUUCUCUUUCAUCCCUCAUAUAUGCAUAUGUUUCUUAAAUAAUUUACAAAAUUACUGUUCAGUAGUGGAGUAAAUAAAUAUGAAUGACGGUACCUGUCAUUAUGCACAUGUUCUCUAAACACAUUUCAUGAAUGACAAGGUAAUUUUUGGUAAUAUUGUUUGGCAGCGAGUAUUUGGGUACAAUGUACUAAAGUUAAUCAAUAUGUGUGGCAUAUGCAUUGUUUUUCAUUGUUAAGGUUCGAACAACUGAAGGCAAGUAAGAUGAAAGACCUUGUUUGAAAAGGGAAAGCUGAACUGGAAGAGCAUAGAAGAUGCGCUCAUCUAAUUAGCCAGGAAGGUUAUGCAGCUGAGUUUAGCAUUGAAGUUAUUGAAGUGCAGGGACGUAUGCGUUUUGCAGGCUGAGCACAUGAAGAAUCCCAGUUAAUGUCUCUUUAACUUCCAUCCAUAAGGAGACUCGUGCACUUUCCUGACACCCUAGCACAAGUUAUUACGCUGUGCAGACUUUUGGCUAUACAUUAAGCAAGAUGCAGCAAGUAUUUUGGAUUGAUGAUCUGUAAGAUUUGAGUUCAGCUCAUGCUCGUUGAUAGCACAUGACACAUCGGUUGAAUAACUGUGUUCAUUUAACUCUGGACCUACAUAUACAUAAUUUCCUCUUACUUUGAUUCCUUGGCUCAAAAGGCUCACAGAAGCCUAUAUUUUGCAAUUAAGCAACAAGAAGCAGGGCUUGAUUUGCAUUCCGAUUCAGGUAAGGUAACAGCUGACUUCGAGUUUUUUUUUAAUUGGUGCAUUAUCCAUGAAACCCUUUUCCAGUUUCCAGUAUUCUUUUGUUAAAUUUUCUGAUAACUUAAUAGGAAAGACAUUAAUUAACUAUGCAUCACCUGCUCUAUAUAUAAUAUAACUAUAGGACAUUGAAUAUUUUAUUUCAUUGCACUAAAAUAUAAUCAAUGUUGGCCUAUUUUUAUGAAUAUAUUAUUCUGGCAUGUCACUACAAGAUCUAAGUAAUACUGAUAUUUUGAUCCAUGGGUGCUUUAUAAGAUCUAAGAAAUUAAUUAUACUUGAUCUCAGGGUCUGAAGAAAUUAAACCUUAACAACAUUGUGAAAUAUAGUGAGACUGAAUCUUGGAGAUAAAUUACUGAAGAACUGAACUAUUAUUAUGAGUAUAAUUUACUUUCUGAUCUUUUAACAAAUAAGGAUAUUGUUUAUUAGUGGUUCUAGAUUUGGUUACCUUGCGUCCUUGCCUUUUAUUCAUCAGUGCAAUUAGGGCCAAGCUUUUGCGUGGCCUUGUCAGAGAGAUGAAAAAGUACAUAUGCAGUGCAUCACUUAUAAUUGGUUGUGCAACCUCCUCAUCCGCAUGCUAAGUACAAUGAGUUGAAGAUGAUGUGCUGCAAGUACGCCCUUUCCACCAUCUGAUUAUGUACACAUUUUUAUAUAUUUCGGUACAUCCGAUUAUAUACACAUCAAUAUAAAUUGUUUUUACGCAUUCUUAUAUAUUUCCGUGCCACCUACUAUGUAAAUGAGCAAAAAAAAUAAUUUGUUUCUUACAUAUAUUAUUUACAAUUAUUUUUCUCCACUUCUAUAGGAUUGACAUAUUGUUUUCCAAAGGAAACAUAAUAGAUCGGGCAGUUUCUGUGAGCUGGAUCAGUACGGGCAUAUGUGCUAACUGCCUCCUAUGCAGUUGUGCUUUGCACAACGAAGUGAGUGUGGUUCAUCUUUAGAGCCAUGUUCAAAGAGAGUUUGGGUGUUGAUCAAUUGUGAGAAAAUCAUGUGUAGAAAUGCCUUGGGAUGAUGUCUAAAAUAGGGCAUUGUAUUCAUUUCCCGUGAAUUGCUGCACAAAUAUUUUUUGAUGUACUUUAUGGUGCAACAUGCAUCUAUUGACACUUUCUACUUUAAACAUAUUAAAAAUAUUUGAUGUA
Molecule: non-coding RNA, 3807 nt
Organism: Oryza sativa Japonica Group (Japanese rice)
Lineage: Eukaryota; Viridiplantae; Streptophyta; Magnoliopsida; Poales; Poaceae
Source: RefSeq, a predicted model, not a curated record